This 88-nucleotide microRNA precursor is filed under the name Brachypodium distachyon (stiff brome). RNAcentral describes it as "pre miRNA MIR164". It matches the Rfam family "MIR164 microRNA precursor family". Lineage: Eukaryota; Viridiplantae; Streptophyta; Magnoliopsida; Poales; Poaceae. The record is from RNAcentral.
CAAACCUUGCUGGAGAAGCAGGGCACGUGCUUGACCGGUCGGCCGGAGCCGGGUUGCAGCAUGUGCGCUCCUUCUCCAGCAUGGCUUC